UAGUUCCUCAAAUCCAACGGCGGAUCUGUGGUAUCCUCUGAGCGUAGUAAAUUUUUAUCUCGCUUUUGUUAGGUGCUGCAGCUCUCAGCCGCUAAAACCCCCAAUUUUUUGUG
Molecule: unclassified non-coding RNA, 113 nt
Filed under: uncultured soil eukaryote
Lineage: Eukaryota
Description: sequence contains ITS2
Source: RNAcentral